GAAUUCAACUCCUACGGGAGGCAGCAGUGGGGAAUUUUGGACAAUGGGCGUAAGCCUGAACCAGCCAUCCCGCGUGAAGGAAGAAGGCCCUAUGGGUUGUAAACUUCUUUUCCAGGGGAAGAAAACUCCCGAUGUAUCGGGACUUGCCGGUACCCUGGGAAUAAGCAUCGGCUAACUCCGUGCCAGCAGCCGCGGUAAUACGGAGGAUGCGAGCGUUAUCCGGAUUUACUGGGUUUAAAGGGUGCGUAGGCGGAUUAAUAAGUCAGCGGUGAAAACCUUCAGCUUAACUGGAGACUUGCCAUUGAUACUGUUAGUCUUGAGUACGGUCAAGGUAGGCGGAAUGUGUAAUGUAGCGGUGAAAUGCUUAGAUAUUACACAGAACACCGAUUGCGAAGGCAGCUUACUGGGCCGCAACUGACGCUGAUGCACGAAAGCGUGGGGAGCGAACAGGAUUAGAAACCCUAGUAGUCCAGGCGUU
Molecule: ribosomal RNA, 478 nt
Filed under: uncultured bacterium
Lineage: Bacteria
Description: bacterial SSU rRNA
Rfam family: Bacterial small subunit ribosomal RNA
Source: RNAcentral